GGGGCUGUAGCUCAGUUGGGAGAGCGCCUGCUUUGCAAGCAGGAAGUCGUCGGUUCGAGCCCGUCCAGCUCCA
RNAcentral lists this transfer RNA (73 nucleotides) under Phycisphaerae bacterium. RNAcentral describes it as "tRNA-Ala". It matches the Rfam family "tRNA". From Rfam's summary of the family: Transfer RNA (tRNA) molecules are approximately 80 nucleotides in length. Their secondary structure includes four short double-helical elements and three loops (D, anti-codon, and T loops). Further hydrogen bonds mediate the characteristic L-shaped molecular structure. tRNAs have two regions of fundamental functional importance: the anti-codon, which is responsible for specific mRNA codon recognition, and the 3' end, to which the tRNAs corresponding amino acid is attached (by aminoacyl-tRNA synthetases). tRNAs cope with the degeneracy of the genetic code in two manners: having more than one tRNA (with a specific anti-codon) for a particular amino acid; and 'wobble' base-pairing, i.e. permitting non-standard base-pairing at the 3rd anti-codon position. The record is from RNAcentral. RNAcentral also lists the same sequence under 1 other name. Lineage: Bacteria; Pseudomonadati; Planctomycetota; Phycisphaerae.